This 109-nucleotide small RNA is filed under the name Pongo abelii (Sumatran orangutan). Its description in RNAcentral is "processed transcript". The record is from RNAcentral. Lineage: Eukaryota; Metazoa; Chordata; Mammalia; Primates; Hominidae.
AGAUGUGAACUUUGUCCCCAUAAGGAUGGAGCUUUAAAAAGAACAGAUAAUGGGGGUUGGGCCCAUGUGGUUUGUGCCCUGUAUAUUCCAGAGGUACAAUUUGCCAAUG